RNAcentral lists this ribosomal RNA (277 nucleotides) under uncultured prokaryote. RNAcentral's name for it is "partial 16S ribosomal RNA". It matches the Rfam family "Bacterial small subunit ribosomal RNA", at positions 524 to 801 of the family's 1533-position model. The record is from RNAcentral.
UACGUAGGGGGCUAGCGUUAUCCGGAAUUACUGGGCGUAAAGGGUGCGUAGGCGGUCUUUCAAGCCAGAAGUGAAAGGCUACGGCUCAACCGUAGUAAGCCUUUGAAACUGGGAAACUUGAGUGCAGGAGAGGAGAGUAGAAUUCCUAGUGUAGCGGUGAAAUGCGUAGAUAUUAGGAGGAACACCAGUUGCGAAGGCGGCUCUCUGGACUGUAACUGACACUGAGGCACGAAAGCGUGGGGAGCAAACAGGAUUAGAUACCCGCGUAGUCCCUGAG